UACGGAGGGUGCAAGCGUUGCUCGGAAUUAUUGGGCGUAAAGGGCAGGUAGGUGGUCUCAUUUGUCUGGGGUGAAAUCCUUGAGCUUAACUCAAGAAGUGCCCCAGAAACGGUGAGACUAGAGUGCCGGAGAGGUGAGUGGAAUUCCCGGUGUAGCGGUGAAAUGCGUAGAGAUCGGGAGGAACACCAGAGGCGAAAGCGGCUCACUGGACGGUGACUGACACUCAACUGCGAAAGCGUGGGGAGCAAACAGG
RNAcentral lists this ribosomal RNA (253 nucleotides) under uncultured bacterium. RNAcentral describes it as "partial 16S ribosomal RNA". It matches the Rfam family "Bacterial small subunit ribosomal RNA", at positions 524 to 776 of the family's 1533-position model. The record is from RNAcentral.